RNAcentral lists this ribosomal RNA (400 nucleotides) under uncultured bacterium. RNAcentral describes it as "bacterial SSU rRNA". It matches the Rfam family "Bacterial small subunit ribosomal RNA", at positions 355 to 771 of the family's 1533-position model. The record is from RNAcentral.
UGGGGAAUAUUGCGCAAUGGGGGAAACCCUGACGCAGCAACGCCGCGUGAAGGAUGAAGGUUUUCGGAUUGUAAACUUCUAUCGAUGGGGACGAGACAAGACGGUACCCAAGUAAGAAGCCCCGGCUAACUAUGUGCCAGCAGCCGCGGUAAUACAUAGGGGGCAAGCGUUAUCCGGAAUUACUGGGCGUAAAGGGUGAGUAGGCGGUUUUAUAAGUCAUAUGUGAAAAUCCAGUUCUCAAGGCUGGACUUGCAUAAGAAACUGUAGAACUAGAGUGCAGGAGAGGUAAGCGGAAUUCCUAGUGUAGCGGUAAAAUGCGUAGAUAUUAGGAAGAACACCAGUGGCGAAGGCGGCUUACUGGACUGUAACUGACGCUGAUACACGAAAGCGUGGGGAGCGA